AGUGAACGCUGGCGGUAGGCCUAACACAUGCAAGUCGAACGGCAGCACAGUAAGAGCUUGCUCUUACGGGUGGCGAGUGGCGGACGGGUGAGGAAUACAUCGGCAUCUACUUUUUCGUGGGGGAUAACGUAGGGAAACUUUCGCUAAUACCGCAUACGACCUACGGGUGAAAGCAGGGGAUCUUCGGACCUUGCGCGAUUGCAUGAGCCGAUGUCGGAUUAGCUAGUUGGCGGGGUAAAGGCCCACCAAGGCGACGAUCCGUAGCUGGUCUGAGAGGAUGAACAGCCACACUGGGACUGAGACACGGUCCAGACACCUACGGGAGGCAGAAGUGGGGAAUAUUGGACAAUGGGCGCAAGACUGAUCCAGCCAUACCGCGUGGGUGAAGAAGGCCUUCGGGUUGUAAAACCCUUUUGUUGGGAAAGAAAAGCAGCAGGAUAAAACCCCGCUGUUCUGACGGUACCCAAAGAAUAAGCACCGGCUAACUUCGUG
This 492-nucleotide ribosomal RNA is filed under the name uncultured bacterium. RNAcentral's name for it is "partial 16S ribosomal RNA". It matches the Rfam family "Bacterial small subunit ribosomal RNA", at positions 29 to 507 of the family's 1533-position model. The record is from RNAcentral.